This 877-nucleotide ribosomal RNA is filed under the name Limnonectes leporinus (giant river frog). Its description in RNAcentral is "partial large subunit ribosomal RNA". It matches the Rfam family "Bacterial large subunit ribosomal RNA", at positions 1491 to 2595 of the family's 2925-position model. The record is from RNAcentral. Lineage: Eukaryota; Metazoa; Chordata; Amphibia; Anura; Dicroglossidae.
CUUUAAAAAAGCGUUAAAGCUUCAUCUAACCUUUAAACCCAAUACCUUUAUACACUUUAAACCCUUAAUUAUUACCGAACAAUUCUAUAAAUUUAUAAAAGAUUCCAUGCUAAAACUAGUAACAAGAAAUCGAAUUUCUCCUUAAUACAAGCAUAAACCAAAAUGGACACCCCAUUGGUAAUUAACGUCAAUAAGUUCAUUAUAACAACACACUCUAGAAAACACUAUAAUUUUAUACGUUAACCUUACACUAGUGUAUUCCAGGAAAGAUUAAAAGAAAGGGAAGGAACUCGGCAAACUUUAACCCCGCCUGUUUACCAAAAACAUCGCCUCUUGACUAACUAUAAGAGGUCCAGCCUGCCCAGUGAGAUACUUAAACGGCCGCGGUACCCUGACCGUGCAAAGGUAGCAUAAUCAUUUGUUCUUUAAAUAAGGACUCGUAUCAACGGCAUCACGAGGGUUAUACUGUCUCCCCUCUCUAAUCAGUGAAACUGACCUCCCCGUGAAGAGGCGGGGAUAAAAAUACAAGACGAGAAGACCCCAUGGAGCUUUAAACCCAAUAACAACCCCUUUUAAAAAAUAACAUAAAAAUUAUACGGUAAUGUUUAUUGGUUUUAGGUUGGGGUGACCACGGAGCAAAACAUAACCUCCUUGACGAAUUGAUUUCAUCCUAAUCCAAGAGCUACUGCUCUAAGAAUCAAAAAUUUGACGUAAUAUGAUCCGGUAACCGAUCAACGAACCAAGUUACCCUGGGGAUAACAGCGCAAUCCAUUUCAAGAGCCCCUAUCGACAAAUGGGUUUACGACCUCGAUGUUGGAUCAGGGUAUCCCAGUGGUGCAGCCGCUACUAAAGGUUUGUUUGUUCAACAAUUAAAACC